Pelobates cultripes (western spadefoot toad) is the source of this 491-nucleotide non-coding RNA. NCBI's taxonomy places the organism in Eukaryota, Metazoa, Chordata, Amphibia, Anura, Pelobatidae. The record is from the annotation of a GenBank genome assembly.
AGACACUUCCCUCAAAGCCUAUGAGAUCUACUGAUUGCUUCACAAAGUGCACAGCUUCAUCACACUGACAGCUUUAAGAGACAUCAACUCUCUCUCCAGGGGAUAAAACCUGCUCAAAACUAAUUGUUCCAACUAGCAUGUCCAGAGCCAGGCUGUGGACACACUUUGAAGGCAUCUCAGCUACCUUUACCAGGACACAGUGUGUAUGACACCUCCAAGAAGGAAUAUGGCCCCUUUCACCCCUACACUAGCAGCCACCUAAUUCUGGAAUGACACUUGUGGAUCUUCUCGUCGCUGGAUACAUAGUAGCUAAGGAAUAGACUUUGUUUUCUGUGUUCUGAGAUCCGUCGAUAAGGAGGGAGAGCUGCUGGGGUCCCACCUGAAGCUCUGGAUAAACGAUGCUUGGAUCUAGCUGUGGACUGUAGAAGACUUCUGUGGUCAUUUUCCAAACAUGAUGUCCCAGUGGAUUAUCCUGCUAAUCGCAGUAGCUG